RNAcentral lists this long non-coding RNA (873 nucleotides) under Toxoplasma gondii VEG. Lineage: Eukaryota; Apicomplexa; Conoidasida; Eucoccidiorida; Sarcocystidae. The record is from RNAcentral.
GUCUUGUUUUUGAUGUGGAACAGGGACAGCAAUGAUGCGGGGCGCUUGGUCCGCUGGCAUACCGUAGAAGUUCUCAGGUUCGAGACAUGCAUGCAUGCUGGAUAAUAGAGUGUGAAAAGCACGAAAUGCCUGUUUUGUGAGGUGUUUGACGACAAAUCUGCCGUUAGUCUAUCUGAAAGACAAUAGCGUCGUUCUUCCCAAUGUGGGCUGCCCUCUUCGCAAGAGCGAACGAUGCAGACUUGCGCCUCCUUUGAAUUGGCUAUCUAUUUGCCUCUGUCUACCCUGGACAAGACUCGCUGAGUAUCCUGCAUUCUCAAACAAAUAUGCAAAGUCAGUUUCCGACUGGGAGGUGCCUCAUUUUGCAGCAAAAUAAAUUGGGACACGAGUCCUCGGACAUGCUUGAGUAGAUCGGCAAAAAACACACAACGUAGAGAUCGACAACAUUUGAGGCAUUCUUGAGUGCAGAUGCUCUCGACAUAUUCAUUUGAGGAGCAUUUUGCAUUCCAUGGUCAUUCUACAAAAGAUUCGGGUGGCUUUUUGCCCCUCCCUGUCACAAUAACGUGAAUAUUUUGUUAUGGCUGGUAAAGAAAAGACUGUCGAUUAGAACAGCGGGAGACAAUGUCGUCACAAUCGUGCCCCUCCCUGGUUAAAUGUUAUCUCCCAGUCUAAAAUAGCUCCUGUUUCUACAGCGGGGAUUCGGCCUGACAGCUCGACCAAAAUGGUUCUUCAGGUUUCUUCUGCAGUGGCUCUUCAGUGCUCUCCGUGGACAUGCUUGGUUCAUGCUUUGAGAUCCAGCGGGGGCUCACUUGCUCCAGGAGUGGCCAGCAACAGCAACAAUAAGAAACAUUCAUUUGGGAGUUUCCUAUGGCGCGG